CCUACGGGGGGCAGCAGUGGGGAAUAUUGCACAAUGGGCGCAAGCCUGAUGCAGCCAUGCCGCGUGUGUGAAGAAGGCCUUCGGGUUGUAAAGCACUUUCAGCGGGGAGGAAGGCGGUGAGGUCAAUAACCUCAUCGAUUGACGUUACCCGCAGAAGAAGCACCGGCUAACUCCGUGCCAGCAGCCGCGGUAAUACGGAGGGUGCAAGCGUUAAUCGGAAUUACUGGGCGUAAAGCGCACGCAGGCGGUCUGUCAAGUCGGAUGUGAAAUCCCCGGGCUCAACCUGGGAACUGCAUUCGAAACUGGCAGGCUAGAGUCUUGUAGAGGGGGGUAGAAUUCCAGGUGUAGCGGUGAAAUGCGUAGAGAUCUGGAGGAAUACCGGUGGCGAAGGCGGCCCCCUGGACAAAGACUGACGCUCAGGUGCGAAAGCGUGGGGAGCAAACAGGAUUAGAUACCCGUGUAGUC
This 465-nucleotide ribosomal RNA is filed under the name uncultured Klebsiella sp. RNAcentral describes it as "bacterial SSU rRNA". It matches the Rfam family "Bacterial small subunit ribosomal RNA", at positions 338 to 795 of the family's 1533-position model. The record is from RNAcentral. Lineage: Bacteria; Pseudomonadati; Pseudomonadota; Gammaproteobacteria; Enterobacterales; Enterobacteriaceae.